GUAAAAUGAUGAAAACAUGCGUGUCAUUUGACCUGUUGUAAACACUGGUCCUCACAUCAGUGGUGAUGUAUUAUCAUUGUUGAUUCUGAUGUCCAGUGAUCUACACCAGGAUAUGAUUUAGAUUUAUCUGAUUAC
Molecule: small nucleolar RNA, 135 nt
Organism: Ylistrum balloti
Lineage: Eukaryota; Metazoa; Mollusca; Bivalvia; Pectinida; Pectinidae
Product: small nucleolar RNA SNORD10
Exons: 1
Source: RefSeq, a predicted model, not a curated record